RNAcentral lists this ribosomal RNA (1323 nucleotides) under Triticum aestivum (bread wheat). RNAcentral describes it as "partial small subunit ribosomal RNA". Lineage: Eukaryota; Viridiplantae; Streptophyta; Magnoliopsida; Poales; Poaceae. The record is from RNAcentral.
UACAGGUUCUUCUUUGACUUUUCUACAACAUUUAUUGGCGUGGGAAUGAUUUGCCCACCUAUGGUAAAUAUUACAUUACUAGCCGGAGGCAUCACAUCGUGGGGGUUUUUGUUCCCUUUUCUCGAAACAAAAAGUGGGCAAUGGUAUCACACUAGUAGUCCAACAAGUUUAGUUGGAUCAAAUGGAUACAAGGUCUUUAUUACAGUUACACUUAUCGUUGUUGAUGGUAUUUACAACUUCAUUAUACUACUUAUCACUGCCUUCAUUGACUUCAGACAAAAACAACAAGAAACAGAUUCAGUGGUGGGGAACUACUUGAGAAAACACCCGAGUCUUAAUUAUGAUGACCGUAGAAGGAUUGAGGUAUUCCUUGAAAAUAGAAUACCUUUUUCCAUACCGGCGGUUGCAUAUGUGGUGUGUGCAAUAAUUUGUGCAAUUAUUAUCCCAAGGAUGUUCUACCAGAUAACUUUCUUCAAUGUCCUUACAAUUUACAUUAUUAUCCCGGUGCUUGCGCUCACCAAUACCUAUGCAACUGGGCUCACGGACUGGAAUGUUGCAUAUACUUACGCCAAGUUCACGAUCUUCAUCGUCUCAGCAUGGGUUGCCAAGCCUGGUGCAAUUGUCGCUAGCCUUGUAGCAUGUGGGCUAGUAGUGUCAGCCCUUCAUGUUUCCUCUCAAGCAACACAAGACGUGAAGACAGGUUACAUGACACUAACCUCACAACGAGCCCUGGUCAUCAUGCAAAUUUUGGGUAUAAUCAUUGGUUCAAUUCUUACCCCAUGCAUCUUCCGCGCCUUUCAAAACACGGCCAAGGCGCACAUUCCCAUUGGAGCACCAGACUCGGAAUACCCAUGUCCAUAUGCUGGGGUUUAUCGUGCCAUCGCGGUGGUUGGCACAGGAGGUGCCAAGGAGCUCCCUGACCAUUGUCUAAUGUUUUGCUUUGCUGCAGCUUGCUUUGCCAUUGCAGUCAACACACUCUCAAUUGUGUCUCGGAGGAAUGGCUGGAAAAUAAUGAACUACAUUCCCAAUGUCACCGUGUUUGCAUUGCCAUUCUUCAUUGGAUCAUCUGGCCCCAUUGAUAUGUGCAUAGGCACUAUAGUGAUGUUUAUAUGGACUAAAAUUAAUAGCCAAAGUGCUGCCUUACUAUCAUCCGCAGUUGCAGCUGGCUUGAUGUGUGGAGACGGUCUAUUUGCACUACCAUCAUCAAUGCUCACCCUUUUCAGUGUGGAGCCACCCAUGUGCAUGAAGUUCAUUCAGAGUGGAAAACAACUUGACUUGGCAGAUUCCUUCAUAAAAACUAUCCCCACGCCUGCAAAGCCAUGA